This 28-nucleotide non-coding RNA is filed under the name Rattus norvegicus (Norway rat). Lineage: Eukaryota; Metazoa; Chordata; Mammalia; Rodentia; Muridae. The record is from RNAcentral.
UGUUCAUUCACAAUGAUCUUCUACUCGC